This 3815-nucleotide unclassified non-coding RNA is filed under the name Dimorphilus gyrociliatus. RNAcentral's name for it is "dgyrCDS14545". Lineage: Eukaryota; Metazoa; Annelida; Polychaeta; Dinophilidae. The record is from RNAcentral.
AGUAAACGUUUAAAUUUUGUGGCAAUCUAUGGACUUUCAGAGCGAACAACCAACGUCAAAAAACUCGGCUAUGAAGAGAAAACGAGAGAAAAAUUGGACAGAUUUCUCUAAAGAAACAACAUUUCAUGGUGUAAAGAAUAUCUUUGCCAAAGAAACAUCAUUAUUUAGGCGUAUUGGAUGGGUAUUUAUUGUUUUUGGAGCAAUUUUUCUAUUCUGUUAUCAAGUUGUAAGAAGAGGAAUGGACUAUAACAAGAAAGAUGUAACAGUAAAUGUUGAAGUGAUAUACUCAAAAAGUCUGGGAUUUCCAUCAGUUACUGUCUGCAACCAAAAUAAAUUCAGGUAAAUCUAGAAGUCUGCUUAGCCAAUACGCUUUGAAUAAUACAUUAUUUCAUACUUUUCAUAGUUUAGUGUUUUAUAUAAAGUUAGAAAUGCUACAGUAACUAUUCAAUCAAAUAUUCAUAAGGUUCCUUAUCUAAUAUUAUAAUGAGAUACUAAUUAAAUAAUUUAUUUCUAUAAAAAGGAUGAGUAGUACUGUUGAAUUGGGUUUAUAUGAAUAUAUUAGCAACAUUUACAACUCUGACUCUAAUGAAAAUACAUCAAUCUAUGAUGCAAACUUGCCUGGAAAUCUUAUAUAUGACACAGAAUUUGUCUUCAAUUACACAGCGCAUAGACAAUCUAAUUUUAUAUUUGAUUGUCAAUGGGCAAAUAAACCAUGUAAAUCUGAAUACAUUUCAAGAACUAUUACCGAGUAUGGAGUAUGUUAUACAUUCAAUUCUCCAUCUGCUCUGAAUGAAACCAAAGGCAUAAGCAUUGGUGAAUCUGGCAUGGCUAAUGCCCUCUCUUUUCUAUUCAACAUUGAGCAAUACGAACACAUGCCUGGACCCUUUAACAAUGCUGGUGUAAAAAUAGUCUUACACGACGAUUACAAAAAGCCGCUUAUAGCGGACUUGGGAUUCGCAAUUGCGCCUGGAAUGCAUACACUUGUUGGAAUAAAGCGAAUUGAAUCUUAUAAGCUCAGUAAUCCAUACGGAGAAUGUGUGAAAUCGGAAUAUAAAUCGCACGCCGAAUGUAUAGAUUACUGUCGGUUAAGCUGGGUAGCGGAUAUGUGCCACUGUAUUCCAUUCGAAGCGAUUCUCAUCCUAGGAAGGGCUAUAAAAAAUGAUAAAAGGUAUUGUAAUUUAUCAGAGACAUAUGGAUGUGUAAGAGCAUCAUUGGAAAAAGUACAAAAUGACAAAAAUAUACAUUGUUCAUGUUCUGUUCCUUGUUCACAAAUUAUUUAUGAACCUAAUCUCUCAUUUUCAUCAAUAUCAGAAUUUGCAGCCAAUAAGCUAUUAAACGGAAAUUCAACUGGAAUGAAUGAUUUAAAACAAAAAUUUUCAAAAAUUUUAGAAAUUAAAGAAAGAAGGGUUAAAAGUAAUUUUGAAAAAAAUACUGCAAUAAUCUCUCCAUUUACAACAAAAAUAUAUUUUGUCUUGCAACGACUCGAUGGUCCUUUUAGACAGUUUUUAACUGAUCAAGAAGAUAUUGCAUUGUUUAGGGCCAUUUUCUUUGAUUUAUAUAAAAUUAUGAUAAACUUUGGAACAAUGGCCGAGUCUUUUGAUUCUUAUCCAAUGAGACAUAUCAGACAACAACUACGUAUUAAAUCAAAUAAGAUUUAUCAAUAUAGAACAGGCCUAUUUGGACCAGUUUCAAUAGAGAAGGAAGAGAUGCUGACCAAUCUGGAAAACUGUAUAAAAGAUCUACACAAAAUGAAUGAAAGUUUGUUUAUUAUGGAUUGCAGUAGAUUUAUGAAACAUUUUAAAUUUUCUAAAUAUAAAAUACAUUUGAAAGACUUUCGCCUCUUUUGGAGUGUAGCUUUAAAAGAUUUUCAAGAUCAACUGAGUAGCAUAAUCCAAGCAGAAACUUUAGAGAAAAUGCAUAUUGAAGAAAUAGAAAGAAUAUUUGGUUUGAAUAUAAGUAAUCCAAAAAUACCAUUCAAUACAAUAUGUCAUCCAUUCUAUGAUAGUCUAGCAUUUAUGGAAAAUUCAAUGACAUUUCCAACUGUAUUUCAAAAUGAUAGUUAUGCUAAUAUUGGAACAAAGAUCAAUAUUGCUGUUAAAGCAUUAUUAAGCAUGGAGGAGAGUUUAUAUCAAAUUAAUUACUUUGAUGAUUCCUACUGUCUCCUUAACAAAAGAAUAUUCAUUGAGAUCGAUAAUAGAAUAAGGGAACUUUUAAUUCUUUCAGAAGACAUUUCUUUUGAAUUAGGAGAAUUUCAUAAAUCAAUAAGACCAUUUUAUGAUAUUCAUCAUUUGGUUCUCACUAAAACUCAACAAUUUCAAUCAUACUUACAUUUUAAUUCCACAAUAAAAAAGGCUAAUUUAUCAAAUUCUUUCAGUUUGAGUUGUUUACUUGAUAAUAUUAACAGUUUAAUGAAUUUCUAUGAAAAUAUACAAUCACAAAAGUCAACAUUUCAAAAUGCAAUAGAAAAAGUUUCCAGAAAACUUUCAGUUAUUGAAAAUUAUAUUGAUUUCAUAUUUAUGUGGCCAAUUGCAGUCAAACAUCCAGACAAUACAGAUAUUCAAUACACUGAUGUAAAUCAGGUUUAUUCAAUAAUUAAUAAGAAGAAAAAUGAAAAUAAUCUCAAUCUUAAUUGUCCAAAAGAAAGAUUGCAGAAUUUUUCAGGAUAUACUUGGAGUACUUGUUUAAAACAAUUUACAUAUGGAAUGAUUUCACACAAUUUUGAUUUUCCUAACAUUUCUCAACAAUCGUUUAUUGACGUUUUAAACAAAUUCAAUGACCUUCAACUUUUUUUGAAUGAAUUUGAUAAAAUUUCAAAGGUUGAUAAAGAUUUCUUCAGAAGGAAUUUUGCAAAAGUUGAUGUUUUCUACAAAGAAAUGAGCUUUCAGAAGAUAAUACAACAAGAAAAAUUUGCAUUUCUCUCUUUCAUCUCUGAAAUUGGUGGAUUUUUAGGUUUGGUUUUAGGCGCUUCUGUCAUAACAAUUAUUGAAUUUAUUGAUUUUUUUGCCCUUAAGCUAACAUCAAAAAUCUUUAGGAGAAUUUGAGAAAACUGAAAAUUGAAGGUAGGGACAUUUAAUUAAAAGAUUAUUAAACCUUUCACAAACAUUCUUUGUCAAUUUGCAGUUUUCUAAUUCUAAGGGUCAGGGGUAAUCAAAAAGGUUAGGGAGUGACAAGGGCUAGGUUAGGGUUAGGGUUAAAUCAUGCAUUGUUUUAAUGAAUUUAAUACAUUUUCAAAUUCAAUACAAACUUUAGCAGAGAGAUUAUUUUCCCUUAGAUUAAUACUUUCAAGUUUUUUGCACUUUUUUAAAAGUUUUAUUGUCAAAACAACAGUUUCUAAAACUAAUUGCCUUCAAUGUAUUUGAUGAUUUUUCCAAUUCUUUGCAUAUAUGGAAUAGUUCAUCAUUUAAAAUUAAAUUGGAAGAUAAAUUGACUUUUUCAAUUUUUUAACAUUUACUCAAUAGUUGUGUUAGCCUAUUACAACUUUCAUCCAUAAAGUCACAAUAUGAACAAUCAAUUUCUUUUAAACUUUUUACUGAUUUCCUAAGUCCAUUACAGAUUAUAGGCCAAAAAUUAUCUUGAUAAAAAGAAUUGAUGAAAUGUUGAUCAAAAAGAAAAAAAAGUUAUGUGUUUCAUGUUCAUCAAAGUAAGGAAAAGAUGAAGAGAAAUUUACAGUUUUGAAACGCAAUGAGUAACGAGAUAAGCGUUACAGCGGCUACAAAACAUCAAUUUUUGUUUAAACGAUUGUAUUAUUCAUCACAAUUUAUUGAUUGUUGUAAUAUUUCUCAAACUCAUCAACGGAUAUCUUAUGAAUAACUUGG